This is an RNA transcript of Daphnia pulicaria, 4346 nucleotides long. It is a transcript of the gene named replication factor C subunit 1-like, with no coding region annotated. The record is from RefSeq and is a predicted model, not a curated record. The transcript has 9 exons. NCBI's taxonomy places the organism in Eukaryota, Metazoa, Arthropoda, Branchiopoda, Diplostraca, Daphniidae.
ACGUUGUAUUGUUACCAAACGAUGGCGCCAACCACCCUUGUGAAAGCAAUCGUCGUCUGUUAAAUAAAAUACUCGAAAACGUUGAGUUUAUGACUUUAUGUCUUUAAGUAUUACGAUUGUUGAUUGUUGAAUCAUUGGAAACGUUAUUUGGUCAUCAUGCCUCCCAAAAGUCCCAAAACUGCUGCAGUUAAGGGAGACAUUCGAAAUUUUUUCACGUCGAUCGCCCCGAAAUCGUCGAAAUCACCGGGUUCAGCAUCGAAUGUGAAAGACGAGGAUGCAGGGAAACGAAAGAAGAAAGCCAUGGUUCUUGUUGACUCCACAGAUUCAGACUCGGAAGGGCCUAUCAUGAAACCAGCGUCCUUAAAGAAAACAAAAGUGGAAGACAUACCAAAGAAGGAGACUGUUGUUUCAGCCUCCAAACUCAAGAAACAUGCCAAAACACCUGAAACUCCACUUCAACCUGUUGACAUCGGCUCAGUAUUCGGCAACAAGCCCAUCCAGAGGAGCAAGGAAAUACCAGAGAAAAGGAAAAGAACAGUCAUUGAAGAUCACAGUGAUGAAGAUUUUGAAGCCACACUGCAGCAGCUGGAUGAAGCCCCAGUGACGAAAAAGUCAAAAGUGGUUGAAAAGUCAACAAGUAAAAAGGGCAAACCCGAUUCUCCAACCAAGAAAGAGAAAAUCAAAUCUCCUGCCAAGGAAGAGAAAUCCAAGUCUAGCCCUCCAUCUAAAAAUGAGAAAACAUCUUCAAAAGAGUCAGCCCGGGUGGAAGUAAAGAGGGAUUCUGACAAGAAGAGAAAGGCUGCUGAUUCAUCCGUCACUCCCAAGAAGAGCACUCCCACUAAGGAUGCCAAACCCAGUGAAGAGAAAGACAAAAGAAUCAAAUCCCAGCUGAAAGAAUUGGACUCUAAUUCAAAUAAAACCUCUUCAACCCCCAAGUCAAACAAAAAGAUGAAGGCGGAGACAACAAUUGUCAAAGAAACUCCCAAAAAGAAGUCGAGCAAAGAUGAUGACGACGACGACCCAGAUGUAAUCGACUCGCCGGCCUUCGAUGCCUUAGAAAAGCGAAAAGAAAAGGCCGAGAAUUACCGGAAAUUCCUUGCUUCUCGCAGAGACGGCGGAGCGAAAAAUCCCGGCAGUAAACCCGUUCCGGAGGGAGCUCCGGGAUGUCUGACGGGAUUGACCAUUGUCGUUACAGGCGUUUUGGAAUCCCUGCACCGUGAAGAGGCCGAAGGGCUUGUCAAGAAAUAUGGCGGCAAAGCGCCUAAAGCUGUCAGCAAGAAUACGACGUAUCUAUUGGCCGGCGAUGAUGCGGGUCCCUCUAAGCUGUCGAAAGCCAAGGAUCUCAAUGUACCCAUGCUCAGUGAAGAUGAUUUCUUGAAAUUGAUCGCCACAAGACCUGCCGGCCAAGGUUUAAGUUCUCCGGCUGCCAAGAAAGCCCCGACGACACCUAGGAGCGCCCAUAAAGCCGCCGCGUCCAAGAAAGCCGAGCCAGAGCCUCCUAGCAAGCCCAUUACUGUUUCUAGUCCGCCCAAGAAGAAAUCCCCCGAACCCAAGAAAAUCGAUCUCAAACCGCAGCAGAGUAGCAGCAGCAGCAGCACGGCCGCUCCUAUCAGGAAAGCCGAGCCCAUUUCGUUAAAAAUGGAAGUCGCCGAAGGAAACGACCAAGCCCAACUACCCUGGGUCGACAAGUACAAACCGACCAGCUUAAAACAAGUGAUUGGAAUGCACGGAGAUCGGAGCAUCGCUAAAAAGUUGGUCUACUGGCUGAAAAGUUGGUACGAUAAUCGCGGCAAGAAACUUGCAAAGCCCAGUCCCUGGUCGACCAACGACGACGGAGCCUUCUUCAAAGCCGCUUUGCUCUCCGGCCCACCUGGCAUUGGAAAAACCACGACGGCCCAUCUGGCGGCCAAGGAGCUGGGCUACGACCUGGUGGAGAUGAACGCUUCGGAUACCAGGAGCAAGCGGCUGCUGCACGAGCACGUGAUGGAGCUCUUGUCGUCGCAAUCGCUGUCGUCGUACGCUCACGGUUCGGCUCAGAUUGAAGGCGGCCGCAAGCGGGUGCUCGUCAUGGACGAAGUGGACGGCAUGGCGGGUAACGAGGACCGCGGCGGGAUCCAGGAGCUGAUUGCCAUGAUCAAAACGUCGAAAAUCCCGGUCGUUUGCAUCUGCAACGACCGGCAGCACCCGAAAAUCAGGAGCCUCUCCAAUUAUUGCUACGAUUUAAAGUUCACCAAGCCGAGAAUCGAGCAGAUCCGCGGGGCCAUGAUGAGCAUCUGCUUCAAAGAGGGACUCAGCUUGAAACCGGAAGCUCUCGACGAGAUCAUCAUGGGAGCCAAUCAGGACGUCCGCCAGGUUCUUCACCACUUGUCGAUGCUGGCCUCGGGCAAGAAGAGCCUGUCGACCGAGAGCGCCAAACUGGAGGCGUCCAAGAGCAAGAAGGAUCUCAAACUGGGACCGUGGGACGUCGUCAAGAAGGUCUUCUCCGCCGAGGAGCACAAAGGAAUGAGCAUCCACGACAAGACGGGCCUCUUUUUCCAGGAUUACAGCUUCGGUCCCUUGUUCGUCCAGGAGAAUUAUCCGUGCGUCGUGCCUCAGGCGGCCAAAGGCAACGCCAUCAAGACGCUGGACUUGCUGGGCCGCACCGCCCACUGCAUGUCUCAGACGGACCUGAUCGAGAAAGUCAUCCGCUCACAGAACGCUUGGAGUCUGCUACCGGUGGAGGCCGUUUUCGCCAGCGUGGUGCCCGGCCAGCUGAUGGAGGGUUUCAUCAGCUCACAAAUCGUGUUUCCCAGUUGGCUGGGCAAGAAUUCGCGCACCAACAAGAUGGACCGUCUCCUGCAGGAGCUGCAGACGCACAUGCGUCUCAAGAUCUCUGGAUCGAAGCGGGCCGUCAAUCUCGACUACCUUCCCUACGUCCUCAAUUCGAUCGUCGGACCUUUGAAGCGGUCAGGAGCCGACGGGGUCAGCGAGGCUAUCCGGGCGAUGGAGAGCUACGAUCUGAUGAGGGAGGAUCUCGACUCGCUCCUCGAGGUGGCUCAAUGGCCACAUAAACCAGACAUCAUGGCCGGAAUCGAAGGCAAAGUCAAGGCGGCCUUCACCCGGGCUUACAACAAAGAAGCUCACAUGACACCGUACGCUGCCGGCCAAGUGAAGAAGGGCCGAUCGAAAGACACGGCCGACGAUUUGGAAGCCCUGGAUGGAGAUGAGGAUGGAUUGGCUGGUGAGGUGGACGAUGAGGAGCAGAGCGAAGAUCCAUCGCUGGAUGCCAUGAUCAAAGUCAAGAAGGAAUCGAAGAAGACGGCCAGCAGCUCAGGAGCAGCGGCAGCAGGAGCGGCGGGCAGGAAAAAAACAGGAGCCCCAGCUGCCACCAGAGGUCGAGGCGGUGGCCGUGGAGGUCGCAAGAAAGCCGCUGAAUAAUUGACCGUGUGUUUUCCUCCGCUGCUAUGCAAUGGGCGGCUCCUGGGCACUGGGGGAGCGAAAAACCGCCGCCAACAAGGAGCCCAGGAGUAUAAUUGGAUUCUAGACGCCCGCUAGCGCUGUGAGGUCUUAUAUAGUAUUCUCAUUGAUAUCUCUCUCUCUUUUUUUCUAAUGGAACGAUUCCAUUCUUUUUUCCGCUUUUCUUCUCUUAUGGCGGGGAUUUGAAAUAAGGGCGGUAAAAUCAAUGUUUUUUCUCUCCCCUUUUUCUCUCCGUGCUGCCGUUAUUGUGAUUAUUAUUACCCGAAAAACUCUGUCUAUGCUCCUUUUUUCUGUUGUUGCUGUUGUUGUGUAAAGAAGCUCAGCGGAUGGAAAAGCCCCGCCAGAAUAAGGAGCUGAGCUGAGCCGCCCACAGCAUCUCUCGCAAACGCAACACAAAUGGACCGAGCGCGCAUUUUUGAAUUGACGUAAAGAGACAUUGUGCGUCUGUCUGUCUGUCUGUGUGUGUGUGCACGGAUAAUGUUUGGCUGUGCUGCAUGUUGCUCUUUUAUAUACUUACACAUUUUCGGCUGCCUUCGAGUCACACACAAUUCGAGCGGAAGAUCCAGUCAACCGUAUCCCAGCAGCACUCUAUCCAGAUUCUUGUCUCUUAGCAUUUUCCACGUAUUGUUGUUGUACACAGUUGGUCUUCUUCUUUUACUUGUCCGGUUUAGAGUACAACACACAGACAUGUUUCCGCUCGGAUAUUAGACUGGCGACACGUUCAUUUCCGUCAUCUCAUAGAGCGAUAGACCCCAUCUCAUUUCCUUGCGAGUUAUUAUGUAGGAGAUUAUCAAAUGUGCACGUUCAAAGAAGAAGAAGAUGAAUCGUAUUAUCAUGUACAUCUAUUACUUCUUUCUCGGUUAUAUCAUCAUAAUAUAAAUGCCCGUAUA